Molecule: non-coding RNA, 261 nt
Organism: Vicia faba (fava bean)
Lineage: Eukaryota; Viridiplantae; Streptophyta; Magnoliopsida; Fabales; Fabaceae
Source: the annotation of a GenBank genome assembly
AUGGAAAGAGAGUGUGCAGCGGAGGUGGUGCAGUCGAAGAGGUUUGCAGCGGUACUGUGGUGGCGAGAUCCGCGGUUUUACCGAAAAAGCUUGCAAAUCCGACAAUGUGGUGUCGCAGUUGUUGAGUUUCACUUCUCCUUUGAAAAUGCUGGAUCUGAUGUUAGAUGGGUAGGAAAUGAAAAAGGGAUUGCAGGAGACUCAGACAUUGGAGGAAUCGAAUUGGGGAAUGAAUUUGAUGAUAUGAAGGCUUAUCAACUCUGA